GAAACCCCGUCUCUACUCAAAAUACAAAAAAUUAGUCGGGCGUGGUGAUGGGCACCUGUAAUCCUAGCUACUCGGGAGGCUGAGGCAUGAUGAUCGCUUGAACCUGGGAGGCAGAGGUUGUCGUGAGCUGAGAUUUUGCCACUGCACACCAGCCCGGGAAACAGUGCGAGACUCCGUCUUAACAUGAAAAACAUGAACAGCCGCUACUAUCUGAGGGCAAUUUUUUGUCUUUAUACUUUGGCAUGUAUAUUAUUUCUACAAAUAAUUUUAAAGGCCAGGUGCGGUGGCUCACGCCUGUAAUCUCAGCACUUUGG
RNAcentral lists this long non-coding RNA (314 nucleotides) under Homo sapiens (human). RNAcentral describes it as "HSALNT0239048". The record is from RNAcentral. Lineage: Eukaryota; Metazoa; Chordata; Mammalia; Primates; Hominidae.